Molecule: small RNA, 17 nt
Filed under: Arabidopsis thaliana (thale cress)
Lineage: Eukaryota; Viridiplantae; Streptophyta; Magnoliopsida; Brassicales; Brassicaceae
Description: ATSL062490
Source: RNAcentral
AAAAAAAAAUCCAAAAA